GUGAGUCAUCGAAUCUUUGAACGCACAUUGCGCCCGCCAGCAUUCUGGCGGGCAUGCCUGUUCGAGCGUCAUUUCAACCCUCAGGCCCUGCCUGGCGUUGGAGGACUGCGCACGCAGCCUCCCAAAGCGAGCGGCGGCGGCGCCCCGAAACCGAACGCAGUAGUUACUUCUCGUUCUGGGUCCGGGUCGUUGUCCUGCCGGAAAACCCCCCUCUAAUCAAUGGUUGACCUCGAAUCAGGUAGGAAUACCCGCUGAACUUAAGCAUAUCAAUAAGCGGAGGA
RNAcentral lists this unclassified non-coding RNA (281 nucleotides) under Ascomycota sp. RNAcentral's name for it is "partial contains 5.8S ribosomal RNA, internal transcribed spacer 2, and large subunit ribosomal RNA". The stretch from base 1 to 71 matches the Rfam family "5.8S ribosomal RNA", at positions 84 to 154 of the family's 154-position model. Lineage: Eukaryota; Fungi; Ascomycota. The record is from RNAcentral.